UACGGGGGGAGCAAGCGUUGUUCGGAUUUACUGGGCUUAAAGGGCGCGUAGGCGGCGCAACAAGUCACUUGUGAAAUCUCCGGGCUUAACCCGGAGCGGCCAAGUGAUACUGUCGUGCUAGAGUGCGGAAGGGGCUACUGGAAUUCCUGGUGUAGCGGUGAAAUGCGCAGAUAUCAGGAGGAACACCGAUGGCGAAGGCAGGUCUCUGGGCAUUAACUGACGCUGAGGAGCGAAAGCAUGGGGAGCGAACAGG
This 253-nucleotide ribosomal RNA is filed under the name uncultured bacterium. RNAcentral describes it as "partial 16S ribosomal RNA". It matches the Rfam family "Bacterial small subunit ribosomal RNA", at positions 524 to 776 of the family's 1533-position model. The record is from RNAcentral.